CCUACGGGGGGCAGCAGUCGAGAAUCAUUCACAAUGGGGGAAACCCUGAUGGUGCGACGCCGCGUGGGGGAAUGAAGGUCUUCGGAUUGUAAACCCCUGUCAUGUGGGAGCAAAUUAAAAAGAUAGUACCACAAGAGGAAGAGACGGCUAACUCGGUGCCAGCAGCCGCGGUAAUACAGAGGUCUCAAGCGUUGUUCGGAAUCACUGGGCGUAAAGCGUGCGUAGGCUGUUUCGUAAGUCGUGUGUGAAGGGCGCGGGCGCAACCCGCGGACGGCACAUGAUACUGCGAGACUAGAGUAAUGGAGGGGGAACCGGAAUUCUCGGUGUAGCAGUGAAAUGCGUAGAUAUCGAGAGGAACACUCGUGGCGAAGGCGGGUUCCUGGACAUUAACUGACGCUGAGGCACGAAGGCCAGGGGAGCGAAAGGGAUUAGAUACCCUUGUAGUC
This 446-nucleotide ribosomal RNA is filed under the name uncultured bacterium. Its description in RNAcentral is "partial 16S ribosomal RNA". It matches the Rfam family "Bacterial small subunit ribosomal RNA", at positions 338 to 795 of the family's 1533-position model. The record is from RNAcentral.